RNAcentral lists this ribosomal RNA (253 nucleotides) under uncultured bacterium. Its description in RNAcentral is "partial 16S ribosomal RNA". It matches the Rfam family "Bacterial small subunit ribosomal RNA", at positions 524 to 776 of the family's 1533-position model. The record is from RNAcentral.
UACGUAGGGGGCAAGCGUUGUCCGGAUUUAUUGGGCGUAAAGAGCGUGUAGGCGGCCAUACAGGUCAGCUGUGAAAACUCGAGGCUCAACCUCGAGACGUCGGUUGAAACCGUAUGGCUAGAGUCCGGAAGAGGAGAGUGGAAUUCCCGGUGUAGCGGUGAAAUGCGCAGAUAUCGGGAAGAACACCCGUGGCGAAGGCGGCUCUCUGGGAAGAUACUGACGCUGAGGUGCGAAAGCGUGGGGAGCAAACAGG